CUUUAUAUAUAUACUCUCCACAAGUAUGACAGCGCAUUGAAAAUGGAGUCAUCAAACGAACAGUCAAUUUCCCACCAUUUGGUCCUUGAAACUUUUUCUUUUUCUUAGGAGGACGAAUGGAAGGAUCAUAAUCGGGCGGGAUAUACUUGUUAAGUACCUUUCGUUCAGACAUUGUUGGAAACUAUGAAAAAAAAAUGAAAUGAACGUACGAGAAUUGCUUUACCAAAUUCAAAAAAAAAGAAUAAAUUAAAGUAAGGAAAAUUUAACCGUCCUUUUGGGUUGGAAUUAUUUGACUUUACAGAUGAAUUUGAAAAUGCUAGUUUUAUGUGGAUAUGCGCUUUUUGUAAGCGAAUGGCAAAAGUACUAGUACUAUCUGUAGUUCUUUGACACUCGAUACGUCGCGGUAAUAAAUUGAAUGCGCACAUAGCACUACGUAAACAUAUUUAGUACCAUCCUUAUAUUUCCUUAUACAAUACCUGAGCUGAGCUAUCGAGACGUGAGCAAGCGUUGUUUGUCAAUCUUACACCUUCCGGUGUUUUAAGAGUACUUUAGAUUCCCUUAUAAAUUGUGUAUUAUUUAAAUGCUUCUGAUUAAUUUUGACUGAUCAGUCUCCAUAGUACUUUACGCUUACAGCAAUAGACAAUUAAUGGGGUUGUUGGCAUUAAUGGCAGGAAUAGAUGAUUUAUAUGAACUUGGUUAAAAAUCGCUGUAUUUCAGCUUAUGUUCGUCUUAGUAAAGUUGAUAGCAAUGAUCAUAAGAAAACACCUGCUAUAUUAAUUUAUCAUAUGUUCAUUUAAGUAAAGCUUGUGGAAGAACCCAAGUUUAAAAUGGUUUAAAAGAUAACUGUAUAGUAAUUACACAAUUGUCAUUUUUCGUUAGUUUAAUAACUAAAGCUUUGUGAAAAGAAAGACUGACUUAUAUGUACGUAUGUAAAUCAUUAAAACGAGAAGAAAAUAGCUAACGAUGUCCGCAACUGAAAAGAAUGAAAGCUGACCCGGGAUAUUCUGAACAAAUCUUUUUUAGCAGACAAUAUCGAAAUGGGAUUGCCUCCAUAUCGAGAUAAAGUGUUCAACUGGAGAGAGUAUAUGUGGAAAUGGUACCACCAAUUUAAUGAAAAUUCAACU
Non-coding RNA from Schizosaccharomyces pombe (fission yeast), 1124 nucleotides. Lineage: Eukaryota; Fungi; Ascomycota; Schizosaccharomycetes; Schizosaccharomycetales; Schizosaccharomycetaceae. The record is from the annotation of a GenBank genome assembly.